AAAAGGCUGAUCUGAAAAGAAUUGCUAAAGCUACAGUUUCUUGCCAAUUCUUGCUACAAUUAUUCGGCUGUCAAAUAUAUGGUAUCAAGGGGAACGAUUUUUAAAUAUGUGUGCUGGCAUGUAGAGACAACAUUUCAAACCGAAAUGUUAUAAACUAUCUAAAUUACUUGAUUGGUUCCAUCAAAUACGGAUACGCGAUCCAGUCGAAGAUGGUUACAGACGA
Cyphomyrmex costatus is the source of this 223-nucleotide long non-coding RNA. RefSeq lists it as uncharacterized. NCBI's taxonomy places the organism in Eukaryota, Metazoa, Arthropoda, Insecta, Hymenoptera, Formicidae. The record is from RefSeq and is a predicted model, not a curated record. The transcript has 3 exons.